AACGAACGCCGGCGGCAUGCCUAACACAUGCAAGUCGAACGAGACCUUCGGGUCUAGUGGCGCACGGGUUCGUAACGCGUGGGAACCUGCCCUUAGGUUCGGAAUAACUCCCCGAAAGGGGUGCUAAUACCGGAUAAUGUCUUCGGCCCAAAGAUUUAUCGCCUUUGGAUGGGCCCGCGUUGGAUUAGCUAGUUGGUAGGGUAAAAGCCUACCAAGGCGACGAUCCAUAGCUGGUCUGAGAGGAUGAUCAGCCACACUGGGACUGAGACACGGCCCAGACUCCUACGGGAGGGAGCAGUGGGGAAUAGUGGACAAUGGGCGAAAGCCUGAUCCAGCAAUGCCGCGUGAGUGAUGAAGGCCGUAGGGUUGUAAAGCGCUUUUACCCGGGAUGAUAAUGACAGUACCGGGAGAAUAAGCUCCGGCUAACUCCGUG
This 433-nucleotide ribosomal RNA is filed under the name uncultured bacterium. RNAcentral's name for it is "partial 16S ribosomal RNA". It matches the Rfam family "Bacterial small subunit ribosomal RNA", at positions 29 to 507 of the family's 1533-position model. The record is from RNAcentral.